AAGGCGGUGACAUCAGCAAAAGGGAGCCAACUCCUUCCCCGUCUGCCAUUUUGUACUCUUGGCCUAACGUUGACUCAAAACAGCAACUUGGAGCCUUCCCUGACCUGUUGGUAAAAUAUGACUUUGUUUUAUUAUUAAAAAAAUAGAAAGUAGAAAAUUAAAUUCAUUAGCUCCAAUUACUAAAUGAUUCAUCUGGCUGGCUAAUGAAGCUGAGCAUUAUGCUAACAAGAUAAAGGCAAGAAUAACAUGUGGGGAUGUGCGGCUGCAGGCACGCUGGGCCUGUUCUACUGGAAACGCAAGGCUGAGGAGCUCUGUGCCUUGAGAUGGAUGGCAAGAUACAAAAUCAAAAAGGUGUUUUAAUCCUGAGGAAGAAUGUGAGUCUGGGAAAGUUUUGGAUCACCGAGGUGCAGCCAUACCUUCCACAGCCAUCACUGUUGCUUACAACUCACAUGCCAAGAAUUGCAAGAAGAAGAUGGUGAUCAGGAGGCAUGACUUGUAACUACUUGGUUAGUGUAAAGCAGAGAGGAGAAUUAGGAGAGGCAGAUGGCAGAGAGGUCUGCCAUGGAAGAUUCAUGGAUGACAGGAGAGGCUGUGUUCCAGAAUGCAAGGUGAACAGGCUUUACACACACAGUUUGGGAUGCCUCUUGGGUAC
Molecule: long non-coding RNA, 652 nt
Filed under: Gorilla gorilla gorilla (western lowland gorilla)
Lineage: Eukaryota; Metazoa; Chordata; Mammalia; Primates; Hominidae
Description: lncRNA (ENSGGOG00000044627.1)
Source: RNAcentral